Molecule: long non-coding RNA, 1226 nt
Organism: Mercenaria mercenaria
Lineage: Eukaryota; Metazoa; Mollusca; Bivalvia; Venerida; Veneridae
Exons: 6
Source: RefSeq, a predicted model, not a curated record
UAGACACCUCAUUCCUGAUGGAAUCCAUCGCCACGAAGGUAUGAGAGAAGAGGCCAGUUUCUGCCCUUUUAAUGCUGAGCUCCAUGUAAGGGAGCCACUGGUACCAUUUUUCACGUCUUUGGUAUGACGCGGCCAGGGAUCGAACCCACAACCUCCCGCACUUGAAGCGGAUGCUCUACCACUAGGCUAUUGAGGCGGUUGUUGUUUACUGUUACAGUUGAGUAGUACAUCAGUUGAAGCAAGAAUUAAAGAAGAUGCAAGACAUCAACCGAGUCUCUGAGUGUGAGCUGCAGAAUUUCGAGAUGAAGUACAAUGACCUGCAACAGAAAGUGAUCACGUCCCAGGACAGGAACCGAGCCCGCCCGCUUAGCUCAAUAGGGAGAGCGUUGGUCUACGGAUCGCGGGGUCGCAAGUUCGAUCCUUGGGCGGGGCGUAUGUUCUCCGUGAUGAUUUGAUAAAAGACAUUGUGUCUGAAAUCAUUCGUCCUCCACCUCUGAUAAUUCAUGUGGGGAAGUUGGCAGUUACUUGCAGAGAACAGGUUUGUACUGGUAGAGAAUCCAGGAACACUGGUUAGGUUAACUGCCCGCUGUUACAUAACUGUAAUACAGUUGAAAAUGGCGUUAAACCCAAAACAAACAAACAGGACAGGAACCGCCAAGGUCUUCAGGAGCCCUCUGCAAAGGAGGAAGAAUUAGUUGUUGUUAAUGUGGAACUCAGUGCCUUACAAGAAAAAUACAAGACCCAAGUUCUGAGAAGUUUUUGUCAGAACUUGAGUUGUUGAGACAUAAUUACCACAGUGCAAAUGAGGAGAUAAAGGGAUUGAGAAUGGCCCUGGAAGAGUCAAGAACCAAUGGGGACAGACUGCACAAAGAGAGUGAACUGGUUGUGCAGAACGUAAACACCUGGGUACAGGAACAAAAACAUGCCAAUGAGGAAUUUGGGAGUAAAGUAAAGCCAUCAUGCAGCUCAAGCUGUAAAAGAACAAAUGUUGGAACAGAUCAGCAAGUAUCAGAAACAGAACAACAAGAUAAAGAUUGAGCUGGACGAGAGACAUAACGAAGCAGAGAGAUUUAAAGCUCUACAGAACCACAGCUCACACCAACAAGUUUUCCUCAACCAGCUCAGGUCCAGGCUAGAGGAACAUUAAAUGGAACAAGAUCAGGAAGUAUCGAGCAAGAUGGCUACUAUAGAGGAUCUUCAUAACCAACUCAAACUCAACAUUGACA